AAAUAAGUCAGCAUAGAAAUGCCACCACUACACAAGUUGAAUUUUGUACUUUGUUUUUGUUUUGGGGAUAUUUUAGCUUAACAUAUUGAUUGGAUCUCCUAUUAGAACUAUUCCCUGUAUGAUGUACUGUGUAACAUUGCAUGGAUCUAGAUCUUCUACAUGCAUGGAUCUUUGCAAUGUGAAUGGUACAUAUACAUACAUUUCAUAAACUGUGGAGAGUUAUGUUUUGCAUUGAAUGUACUUAGAAAACAUUAUAAUUUAGACUUCUAUUUAUUUAGUUAUUGCAAAAAUGAGACCCUCUCACUCUCUCUUCCUUAUCUGAACAUGUAAGAAUGUACCCUCUGAAAAUGAUGGAAUAUGGCCACUAUACUAGCG
Molecule: unclassified non-coding RNA, 375 nt
Filed under: Hevea brasiliensis (rubber tree)
Lineage: Eukaryota; Viridiplantae; Streptophyta; Magnoliopsida; Malpighiales; Euphorbiaceae
Source: RNAcentral